This 333-nucleotide long non-coding RNA is filed under the name Vicia faba (fava bean). The record is from RNAcentral. Lineage: Eukaryota; Viridiplantae; Streptophyta; Magnoliopsida; Fabales; Fabaceae.
AUGAUUCAACAUGCUCUUCAACAAGUGGAAGAGAAGACUAAAAUCCGUGAUGAAAUUCGAGCUGAAAGCCAGACUAAAAAGGCCAGUUGUAAAGAGUAUGGGCAAGAAUUUAGAGCAGCAGUACAAGAAGAGAGAGCUGCGAGAGAUUUGCUUAAAUCCAAACGGCAUGAGAUGGAUUCAGUUCAAUCCACCAUGAAUAGAUUAAAUAAUGCAAUUUCUGUAGGGGAUAUCGAUAGCAAGAUUAGAAACAUGGAACACAUGAUUCAACAUGAAACUCUGCCUCUAAAAGAAGAAAAGCAAUUGAUAAGGGUUUAUUCUCCAAUUAAAAUUUGA